GUCUAUGGCCAUGCCACCCUGAACAAUCCCGGUCCUGUCUGAUCUCGGAAGCUAAGCAGGGUCGGGCCUGAUCAGUACUUGGAUGGGAGACCACCUAGGAAGACCAGGUGCUGUAGGCU
Molecule: ribosomal RNA, 119 nt
Filed under: Pteropus alecto (black flying fox)
Lineage: Eukaryota; Metazoa; Chordata; Mammalia; Chiroptera; Pteropodidae
Source: RNAcentral